GAUGUAGGGCGCGAGCGUUGUCCGGAUUUAUUGGGCGUAAAGAGCUCGUAGGCGGCUUGUCGCGUCGACCGUGAAAACUUGGGGCUCAACCCCAAGCCUGCGGUCGAUACGGGCAGGCUAGAGUUCGGUAGGGGAGACUGGAAUUCCUGGUGUAGCGGUGAAAUGCGCAGAUAUCAGGAGGAACACCGAUGGCGAAGGCAGGUCUCUGGGCAUUAACUGACGCUGAGGAGCGAAAGCAUGGGGAGCGAACAGG
Molecule: ribosomal RNA, 253 nt
Filed under: uncultured bacterium
Lineage: Bacteria
Description: partial 16S ribosomal RNA
Rfam family: Bacterial small subunit ribosomal RNA
Source: RNAcentral